UACAGUCACACUUGUCUUGACUUGAUACACACUACACACGAAUUUUAAUACACAACGGAUAACUCAGGGAAAGUUUGGCUAAUACGUACGAGUUAUUAUAAAACACACACACAAACGAUUUAAUUUUCUCAGCAUUCAAUGGAAGUUUUUUUUCAAAAACACACACAUGAAAGACAUUGAAUACGCAAUAUAUAUUCUCACGAAUGUAUAUACGCUGAGCAGACUUUAUUUUUAUACUUUAUUGUAUAUUUAAAGCAUGUCAUACAAGCAUCUAAAGCAUCAAGUCACACCGUUGGCAAGUGUAUUUUUGAACCUUCAAAGCAGUCACGCAUACGGAAGAGUAGUUUCUGAUCCCAUAGAAGGAGCACAGUACAAUGAGAGACCGCUCUUAGUUCUAAGGAACGCAGCAGGCGCGUAAAUUGCCCAAUGAUAGAACAUUUUUUAAUUUAUUUAAACAACACACGAACGACACACACACACACAAAAAAAACGUAUCCUUGUUUACUAUAUAUCUCUUUACUGAGGCAGUGACAAGCUGUAAAGGUUGAGUAUUUUAUUAAUGACAAGUGCUUAGCAUUGCCGCCUGGUUCGCUAGGCUUGGCAUUUUUGCUAGCGCUUUGUAUGCUCAAUUUGAAUGCGGUGAGUUCAAGCAACUCAGAACCUUUGUAACGUGAUUUACUUUGUUGUAUUUCAUGUUCAUGUAUCUGAAUUUUUCAAGUGGAGGGCAAGUCUGGUGCCAGCAGCCGCGGUAAUACCAGCUCCACUGGCCUAUACAAUCAUUGUUGCGGUUAAGAGGCUCGUAGUUGGAUUGAACAACAUAACAUAUAUAUAUAUAUAUUUAUUAUACUACACACACACACAAAACAAAAAACAAUAAUAAUAUACUGUAUAUAUUUUUUCAACACUGUGAACAAAUCAGAGUGUAUCAAACAUGUAUUUUUUUAAAAUGCGCAUUGAAUGUCUUAUCAUGGAAUGUUGCCUUUACAAUAAUUUACAUAUAUACACAAAACACACACACACAACACAGAUGUCGAUGGGGAUAGUUGGAGUCAACAGUACUGCGGGGCGAGCGGUGAAAUGCAUUGACCCUUGCAAGACUACCAGAAGCGAAAGCGGUUGACUAGGCUAUACUCUUUGUGAUAUAAAUUUUUAUAUACAUAUACACACACUCUUUUUCAAUGUAUAAUAAUUAUUUUACAUAACACAUUACAAUGAAGAACGAAGUUUAUGCAAACUCUCUCUCAACCUGCAAAAAAUUUUAUUUAUUUAUAUAGCUUGAGCUCUUUGUGGCUCGCUAUGUAUUGAUAAUAUAUUUAUGCACGGUCUUAUGACUGACGUUUCAUAAUUUUGAUAAUAUUUUUUUUAUUGUCACACAUGCAUGUAAGCAAAAACAUUUUUUUACUAAAAUGUUAACCUACAUAUGAUUUUCGAUACUUUGCGCUCAAAUAAUUUACUGGUGAGAUGUAAGCGUUAUACCGUAAUUAUUUUAUUUACACGUAUUUAACUUCGGUUAUUUUAUCGUUGUAAUAUUAAUUUUUACAUUUAUAUAAAUAAUAUAUAAUGUGAUGCACGCGUUAGGUACAAGCUUACUGCAGAAAUGUCUAAGACAUUCCCCUCCGGGGGUAGUAUGCACGCAAGUGUGAAACUUGAAGGAAUUGACGGAAGGGCACCACAAGAACGCGUGGAGCAUGUGGCUUAACUUGACUCAACGCGGGAAAUCUUACCGGGUCCGGACACACUGAGGAUUGACAGAUAUAUGCAUAUAUAUUGCUUUCUGGCAGUAUAUGUGUGAAAGAUGCUAGUUCUUUCAUGAUUAUGUGAUAGGUGGUGCAUGGCCGUUCUUAGUUCGUGGAGUGAUCUGUCUGCUUAAUUGCGUUUCACUUUUAUAGAGAUAUUUAAAACGUAUAUAUUUAUAUUUAUUUAUUUAUUUUAUGCAUAAAUUAUCUCUCAGUUGAAAGCAACGAACGUGACCGUUGUCUUUUGUUGUCUAUAUCCCUUUAUAAAUAGACUUUUUUUUAAUAAACAAAACUAAAGAGACCGCUGUAUUUUCUUUUAAACCAGAGGAAGGUAACGGCAAUAACAGGUCUGUGAUGCCCUUAGAUGUUCCGGGCUGCACACGUGCUACAAUAAUUAUUGCAGUGAGCAUCUCAUAUUUUUUUACACUGUUUUAAAUUCUAACAGCGUUAUAUACUCUUUCGAGGGUAUGCUGUUCUGUUUUGAAUUUACAGUAAAGCCUACAUCGAGAGUUUUCUUUUACGUGGGUAAUCAAUUAGAAGUAAUGAAUUUCCUAUUUUUGUAUAUUUUAUGCAGUAUUUUAUAUCCACUUGUAUUUUCAUACAAGACUGCGUAUAUAUUAUAUUUUUUGCACAUACAAUUGUCAAUUUAUAGUGGGGACAGACCAUUGUUAAUUGUUGGUCUCGGUCUUAACUAGGAAUGCCUUGUACGGGUCUUUGGUUCAACAAACCACCCGGAAUACGUCCCUGCCCUUUGUACACACCGCCCGUCGCUCUUACCGAUGAACUUCUCUGUGAGUUUCAGGGACCGUCCUUUUUAUAGGAAACUUAAACGAACAGUGUGGUUUAAAGGAAAGAGAAGUCGAACAAGGCA
Molecule: ribosomal RNA, 2607 nt
Filed under: Elphidiella groenlandica
Lineage: Eukaryota; Foraminifera; Rotaliida; Elphidiidae
Description: SSU rRNA
Rfam family: Eukaryotic small subunit ribosomal RNA (bases 288-2607)
Source: RNAcentral